This is an RNA transcript of Zea mays, 922 nucleotides long. It is a transcript of the gene named UV-induced protein uvi31, with no coding region annotated. The transcript is spliced from 3 exons. NCBI's taxonomy places the organism in Eukaryota, Viridiplantae, Streptophyta, Magnoliopsida, Poales, Poaceae. The record is from RefSeq and is marked validated.
UUGGAUUAGCUAUACAGAGGGGAAGGUUGUGUGUGCAGUGUGCAGUGAUCGUCUCUAGAAUCUGCAUUCUAUAAGGCAAGAAGAUAAGAUGCACACGACAAGAGUUGUUGAGCCGUCCAUUUGAGUUUUUUCUCCUCUGUACACCCCCUAUCACACACACAACACACUCCUACUCUCUCUUUGCGGCCGGUCUCUGCUUUCAGAUUCAUUUCUAACCAGGGUUCCUCCAGCCCAGCCGCCGCCACUGUUGAGGAGCUCACAUCGCCUCGACACAACACGGUCUCUGGUUUCAACGUAUAAUAACUGGGCUGCGAGCACUAUAUGGAUGAUGGCUUCACGAGGCACCAGUGCCGUGCUUUCAAGGGCUGCUCGGAUGAGGCAAAAACUGCAGUCUGCCUUGGAGGCCAGUGCCCUAGAUAUUGAAGACGUUUCUUACCAACAUGCCGGGCAUGCAGCCGUCAAGGACAAUGCGAACGAGACGCACUUCAACAUCAAGGUUGUUUCACCAAAAUUUGAGGGGCAGAACCUUGUGAAGCGUCACAGGAUGGUGUAUGAUCUUCUGAGGGAUGAGCUUAGCUCAGGCCUCCAUGCUGUCUCCAUUGUUGCGAAAACCCCGAAAGAGUUAGGGUCUUGAUUGUAUAACAAUGUUGAAUAAGCACUGUCCUAUGUUUCGAAAUAAGUCUGUCGUAGCAGCCAUGACACUGAUUGCCAAAACAAUGUCACCGGCAUGCUCUUCUUAUUAAGAUCUGGCUGCGGAGCCAGUUUACCUGCAUUUGCUAUGUGGACUUUCUGAGCUGAAAGGGAAGCAGAAUAUGGGAGGAAAAUCGUUGCCAGCCAUGAGCCAUGUCGCUGUUGUACUUGCAUCGUUGGGUGGGCAAAACGCAAAACAUGUGAAAUUUUUUUAAAAAAACCUUUGCCCCCA